Molecule: unclassified non-coding RNA, 1820 nt
Filed under: Leishmania donovani
Lineage: Eukaryota; Euglenozoa; Kinetoplastea; Trypanosomatida; Trypanosomatidae
Description: gene:LdHU3.35.0300(CDS-product:hypothetical_prote in_conserved)
Source: RNAcentral
UUCCGCCGCCCCAAGCGUCUGCCUCCGUUGGCUUAGGUGGGAGAAAGAUAUUGCCGUGCUGUUCUUCACAAACGCAUAGAAAUUGUCACCCAGGCGCCUAGGUAGUGCUGCCACUUCUUUGCGGUGUGUCAUCUCUUGCAUUCGAUAUCAGUGCUUGCAUAUUCUUGGGCGACUCCCCCCCCCCCCAAAUACAGAGCCAAGCAAAAAAAAAUACCAGGUGCGCACUUCCGACCCCGUCACGGAGACCACUGUCAAACAACACAUUCCACGGUAAAAAAGAAGUAGCGUCACACACCCUCACUUCUGCUGUGCUUGCCGUUUUCGCUUUUUUUUACUGCGGCGAACUUUUAGCUGAGACACUACAUCGCCUUUUGACUCCGUCCUGCACUCCGUGGCUCUCUCUUUAGGUAUUCUUUCCGUCUCAUCACAUUCGCGCAGCUGAUAGUUUGGUGGAAACUGACGGUGCAUCGAAGCCGCACCUUGUGACCCUUCCUUUUCAGUCUAGUAGUAGUGGGAGUAGUAGUAGUGAUCCUCCUUCCUGCUUCGUUCUCUGCCUGUGCGCGCGUCUUGGCGUAGCGUGCGGUUCUCCGUAUCGCACUUACAAACAGUGCUUCUUUCCCAUCUCGCGCGUUGCGUGGUGGACCACAUGCUCUGCUCACGAUCACUGCUAGGUGCGUUCUGUAGCACCACGCGCCUUCUCACCAUCAGCGAUGAGUACAUUCCCCGCGCCUUUCCGGUGAAGUCGACGACCGGCCUCGCCGGUGUGGCUGUGGAGCCUCUGUGGAAGCCGAAGCUGCUUGCCGCCGCCUCGGAGCUGCAAGCGUUCCUCCACACAUCCGACAUUCCGCCAGAGUCGACCUAUUACAACGUAACCAUGACCUUAGUAAAGCGCAUCAACUACGGCAUCAAGGAGUGCCAGGAUGACUGGUGCACGCUAGAGAAGAAGUUCUUCUGGGGCUGGCCAGUGGAGUAUAUCCUUCAAGUGACCUGGCGCGAGCUUGAGACGGCGCAGAAGUGGAAUGAGUGGCGCUUUUGGGAGCUGGACCCGGAGCAGGUGAAGCGCGUAGCCCGCGAGGAUCAGGCCAUAGGGAAGGAGGGCUUAGGCUACAACACUCCUUGGGAGCAAGUUGUGCGCGAGGACUUCGACAAGCGCAAGAAGGCUCUCACACAGGAGGAGAUGGCGGAGCUCAAGCGCAUGGACACGGAGCGGAUGGCGCGCGAGACGGCGGCGUACAAGGAGCGCAAGGAACGCAUCCGUGACGACUUAGAGAAGGCGCGUGGCGAGAUGCUCAAAAAGUUCCUGAACAAGCGGUACGCCGUAGACAAGGAUCUGAUGCGGAUGCAGCCGGGUAAGAGCUACUCUGGCAAGAGCGCCGACGACCUUAUUCACGAACUGCGCGCCUCCGUGAAGCAGACCCCUCCCCCUGCCAACAAGUAGGCAGCCGGAUCUCGCUUGCAGCGCGGCAGCGCUGCAUGAGAUGUGCACGAGAGGCUUCGGCUGGGUGUGGCUUGGCCGUGCGCGAGAGCGACCACAGAGUGCGCUGCGACCACCUUUUUGAUAUUGCUCGGAGAAGGGUGUGGGAUGCGGGUAUUGUCUUGUGGCGGCGUCUGUGUUGUGUGUGCGGAUGUUGCGCGUCGGCCUUCUGUGAGGUUUUAUAUGUGUAUCAUCCUCUCCUUCACCGUUUCUUCGUGUUUUGCACCGUCCAGCUGUUUCCUCUUAGCUAGGUAUUCUACAUUAUCCGCAGCUGCGACCGCCAUUCCGAAAAUGAGCACGAAUCUCUCUGUCACAUCAAACUUCGCACCUUUGAUUCGGUGCUGUC